UACGAAGGGGGCUAGCGUUGUUCGGAAUCACUGGGCGUAAAGGGCGCGUAGGCGGCCUGAUGAGUCGGGGUGAAAGCCUGUGGCUCAACCACAGAAUUGCCUUCGAUACUGUUAGGCUUGAGACCGGAAGAGGUAAGUGGAACUGCGAGUGUAGAGGUGAAAUUCGUAGAUAUUCGCAAGAACACCAGUGGCGAAGGCGGCUUACUGGUCCGGUUCUGACGCUGAGGCGCGAAAGCGUGGGGAGCAAACAGG
RNAcentral lists this ribosomal RNA (252 nucleotides) under uncultured bacterium. Its description in RNAcentral is "partial 16S ribosomal RNA". It matches the Rfam family "Bacterial small subunit ribosomal RNA", at positions 524 to 776 of the family's 1533-position model. The record is from RNAcentral.